RNAcentral lists this ribosomal RNA (609 nucleotides) under Triticum aestivum (bread wheat). Its description in RNAcentral is "partial small subunit ribosomal RNA". Lineage: Eukaryota; Viridiplantae; Streptophyta; Magnoliopsida; Poales; Poaceae. The record is from RNAcentral.
AUGCUGAUCUGGAGUUUCUGCUUGAUGUCGUGGACAGGUUCCCGCUGUGGGAGGAGUUUGGGGACAACAUUAAACACCCAGAUCCGGUUCCUCUGGCCGGGUUUAGUUGAGGUCAACGGGUCGGCGACGAAGGACCUGAAAAGGCACGAGGUGGAGGCCGCCGUUGUCCAAAUUCAUCUCCGAACUAGUCGGCGCAGUCAACUGACAGAGUCAACCCACAGGCCCCAGAUUGGACAAAAAGCGAUGAUGGAAACUGGAGUGCAGCUUAAUUUGUCUAUAUAUUCUUGCAGUGGAGAAGACUACGAGACCGACGCUGCUGCUGCCCAGUUCGACUACGGAGUUGACGACCUCUCUCUCUCUUGCCAGAGCAACCAGAUGUUGGAGCCCUGGAGCCAGACGCCACCGUCGACGAUGAUUCCUACUACACUGGAGGUGCCUACUACUACGUGCAGGCUGCUGACGACGACCAUGAGUAGUUUAGGAGGAUCCCAGGCAGGAGGCCUGCGCCUCUUUCAAUCUGUAUCCCAGUUUGUGCUAGCCUUCUUAAGGCAAGCUUGUUUAACUUAUGUCUGUACUCAGAUAUUGUUGCUUCCGCUAACUCGUCUAUGA